This is a long non-coding RNA of Bombyx mori (domestic silkworm), 3360 nucleotides long. RefSeq lists it as uncharacterized. The transcript is spliced from 2 exons. The record is from RefSeq and is a predicted model, not a curated record. Lineage: Eukaryota; Metazoa; Arthropoda; Insecta; Lepidoptera; Bombycidae.
GAGGAUCAAUAUCGGAUAUUGAAUCUAUAUAUUUUCUGAAUCUAUAUAUUGAUGGAAUACCCCAGAACAACUUGGCGUCGCUCGGUGGAGCAGGAGCUAGGGGUCUUGGGCAUGACGUGGGAGGAGCUAGAACAGACUGCCCAAGACCGAUACAAAUGGAAAAAUUUGAUUCGAGCCCUACACCCCAGCAGAGGGUAAUAGGAAAGCAUGAUGAUGCUGAUGAUGAUAUAUUGAUGUAUGCUAGUAGAUUUUCUCGAUUCAUGAUAUUUGAGAUUUGAAACGAUACGCUGAUAUAAUAUCGUAGUAGAUAUAGAUUUAAGUCAACGUUAUACGGUUGGUUUUCUGAUAUCAAUUUAUAAUAUGAUCUUAAAGUAAUAAAAAUAACAUGAAAAUAAAAAUAUCAAAAAAACUUUCCUUCAUGCUUUUACCAGGCUUAGGACUGGCUACAUUAUUUUCAGUUUUUAGUAUUUUGUGUCUUAAUUUAAAAUUACAAAAUAUACCAAAAGAGUGUAGAUUUCAAAAGUUUAAUACAAACACAAGAAAUAAACUCAAUUAUUUGGAUUCAACUAAAAAUAGAAAAAUGUGUACUUUAAAAAUCAAACACAAAAAACUUUUAAGUAUUUAUAAACACUUGUCCAAAAAUUCUAGUUCAAGGUCAAAGCGCGUGAAAUUAAAUUCAACGAUGCAAAUAGGCUAUACUGCAUUCAAGUUAGGGUCGAAAGUUGAAACUUCUUUCCUUAAUUGUAUCCUGCUGAUACGCUAAGAAUAAUCUACAGACAUAUGGACUUAAAUAUAAGGUUUACAAUUGUAUGGAUAAUGCCUGUUUCUGUUUCAUUCAUCACAUGAUAUCGUGCGCUCACUCACUCUGGCCGAUUCGAUACGAACCAAACGAAUAUUGCUGAUAUUAACGAAUCGGUACGAUAUGCCGAUGCGCAUCACAUCGAGCAAUAUCGUGUAUCGGCUGAUAUCGAAAUAUAGAUUUCGAUUCACGAAUCGGUCCGAUAUGGCGAUGCGCAUCACAUCGAGCAAUAUCGUGUAUCGGCUGAUAUCGAUAUAUAGAUUUUGUGCGGGGCGAUAUCGGAUUCAACGAUAUUGCUGCGAUAUAUAGAUAUUGAAUCUAUAUACGAUUUAUAUCACCCACUCCUAUUAACGACGGUACGCUUACUCGCAUUUCAAAUUUGAGCCGCGGUUAGUACGCUAGACUCUACGCGAUGCACGUAUCAAAUUCAGAGAAUACACUUUUUUUUCGUAUCAACCUUCUUAGCGUGCCAUUUAUGGUAUUUAUAUGAACUAAACUAAUUUAAUUAUGGCAUUAUUUUUCCGGUUUAAUAAUUUCCGAAGUUUCUAAUGUAACUUUUUUCGUGAACGAAGGAAUAUGAAUAAAGCACGUGUCGGUUAGUACUAGUGAAUAGUUUUCAAUGCCAAAGUCUCGCCGAGGUGAGUGGCAUUUCUUUAUAAAAUCCUUUAUAAAAUUUGGCUGCGACUGAAACGCUUACGAAUUGUUCAAAAACCAUACACGUGCGCUUGCAGCUGAGUAGACAACGUCGCUGCCAGGCCGCGUUUAAUAGAGAUGUUCCAUGAAUUACAUCAAAAAGUUUUAUUUAAUUCCUAAUGUUCUUGAGACCACUAAAUUACAAACAUAAAAAAAAAUUGAUGUUGCUGUUAUGUAAAAAAUGUCUGUCGUGGUUUAGUUAGCAAUAUCUGUAUAACUGAUGAAUAUAUAACUAAUAAUACACAUAACUGAUGUAUAGCUCAUCUGGAUGAUGAACGUAAGUAUUAAGUUAAAUAAAAUAUCAUAAAAAGAAAUUCUAAUAUGGAAACGGUUUGUUGUUACAUGUUUUGAUAAGAAAAAUGUAGAUUGCGAGCCAUUGAGACUACACAACAAUGUAAUAUUUCUAUAAUGGGCGACAAGACAAACCACUCAUAGCUCACCUUUUCUCUAGCAGUUAUAAUAACCCAUAGAUACCAUAGUGGAUACUCACUUUAACUGAUCUCACUUUAAAUGUGUAUCACGGUUUCAUUGAUAUGACAGUUAUCACAAAGUUGAGGCCAGACUAUGUGUUUAAGAAAAAAAUAGUAUGAUUUUACCUAACAAUUCAGACCAGCCACACAACUUAAAGAUGGAAGCUGAGGUUUUAAGUAGUGGUAGUAGUUGCUGGAAUAUAAUAUCAAGGGUUGAAAGGCUAUUUCGUUUAAGCAACAUUUACCUUAAUAUGUGACAUUUUAUAUAUUAUUAUCUUUGUAAUUAAAAGUCCCUUUUAUUUAGUAUUAACAUCCAUCAUUCAACGUUUUUAAUUAAACUUUUUAGUUUGAAUGGCAAAUAGCUGAAGAAGUUUUUUUGUUAUAAAAUUUUAACCUUUAAAUGACUCUACUGUGCAGUUGCAAAAUUUUGCUUAAGCCAAAUGGCCUUCACCCCUUAAAAUCUUUAUACAUUUUCAGAAUAAUUUUCAUAUCCAAAAUCUUCCAGAUGUAUGUAUGUUUUUGUAAUCUGAAUGAAAACUUUAUAUUCAAAAUGUUUACCUUACAGCAACAUAUUACUUGCAAAUAAUGAAGAAUGUACCAUGCUAAAUGAAUUUAAUAUACAUAUAGGCACUGAAGUGUUUGAGACAAAUUACAUAUUACUCUUUGCUUUUUGAUGGAUUAUAAAUGUUAAUGUCAUUUUUCUGACAGCCUGGUACGUUCUUAGAUUAAUAAUUGUAUAAAUAAGCUUCAGUAUUUUGCCAUGGUCCAUUUUUAAUUUCACAUAACUUUGUUAUGUUUAAAUUUAUACUUAAGUUACACAUAAUUUUUUUUAGAUUAAAUUUCACUUCACAGCACUCUUAAAUGCUUUGUAUGUUAUAUGGUAUCCAUAUUUCAAGAUUAUCAUAUUUAGAAUUAUGUAGUCACUGUAAAAUGUUUUAAUAGGUAAAAAAGGAAUGCGUUUUGCAAAAUCAGCUGGCUUUGAAGAGUGUUGCGUAUUAAAAAUAAGCUAAAGUUAUUUGAAUAGACUAAUAUUUUUUUAUUUAUUUAUUGAGAUUCAAACUAACUAAAUUGACACCUAUCCCACUGUAAGUUGGUUUUAAUAUUAUUUGAAUUUUUCCUAUUUAAGUUUUUUCUUCCAUUUAUUUCAUUAGGAAAUUGUAAACAGAAAUGAAACAAAUUUUAUAAGGUUUGUUUUAUUGAUACCAUACUAAAAUAUAGUCCAAAAUUUAUUAAAAAAAACUUGCAAAGUUGCUAUUUACUUUCAUUUGUGUAAUUUUAUUUUCAUAGUUUUUAGGUUGGAAAUCAUGCUGGGCAAGAAACUUCUUUUUAUAUUUUAGUCUUUAACGUACUAUAUGUUUUAUCUACACUGAAAAUUAAACGUGAUGAAACAAAAUCAAA